Molecule: ribosomal RNA, 477 nt
Filed under: uncultured bacterium
Lineage: Bacteria
Description: bacterial SSU rRNA
Rfam family: Bacterial small subunit ribosomal RNA
Source: RNAcentral
AUUAAACGCUGGUGGCAUGCCUUACACAUGCAAGUCGAACGGCAGCACGGGGCAACCUGGUGGCGAGUGGCGAACGGGUGAGUAAAGCAUCGGAACGUGCCCUGGAGUGGGGGAUAACGUAGCGAAAGUUACGCUAAUACCGCAUAUUCUGUGAGCAGGAAAGCAGGGGAUCGCAAGACCUUGCGCUCUGGGAGCGGCCGAUGUCGGAUUAGCUAGUUGGUGGGGUAAAGGCCUACCAAGGCGACGAUCCGUAGCGGGUCUGAGAGGAUGAUCCGCCACACUGGGACUGAGACACGGCCCAGACUCCUACGGGAGGCAGCAGUGAGGAAUAUUGGACAAUGGAUGGAAAUCUGAUCCAGCCAUCCCGCGUGAAGGAAGAAGGCCUUAUGGGUUGUAAACUUCUUUUCUGUUUGAAGAAUAAGCUUGUCGAGACAAGUGAUGCCGGUAGGACAGGAAUAAGCAUCGGCUAACUCCGUG